UUUAUUUUCAAACUUUUCCGAGCACUUUUAUUAGUAUAGCUGGAAAGCCAUAGAAGAAUAUACAAAGACCAAAACCAAAACAGCUAACCGAUCCUCUUAACUGGCAACAAUAAAAUUAUACGAUGCUGAAAUUAUCUCUUAAUCAUUUGAGUCUGAGAAUGAUUUUCCCGAAAUUAGAAAGCAGACAACACUGAAACAUUUAAACAUCAAAUAAAUCCAACGAUAUAUAAUUAAGCCAGAAACGGCUUUAUUGUUCAGAAGAUUCAGAAAAGUUUGGAAUUGGAUCGUCUUCAUGGCUUGGUAGCAGCAGCCAAGGUGUUUCCAAUGUCAAUAACAAACCGAUAUUUAACAUCAUUUUUAGCCAAACGCUCCAUUGCUUCGUUCACAUACUCAAUUGGGACAAGUUCAAUAUCUGCUUUUAUGUUGUGUUUGGCUGCAAAAUCAAUCAUCUCUUGAGUCUCCUUCAUUCCUCCAAUGCCACUCCCAGCAACAACCUUCCUUCCGGCAAUCAAAGGAAAGACAGGUAGCUCGAGAGGCUUUUCUGGAACACCAACCAAUACAAGCUUCCCAUCAUUCUUCAACAAUCCAAGUAAUGGCAAGAUGGCAUGAACUGCAGCCACUGUAUCUAGGAUUCCAUCCAAUGUGCCCAUUGCUUCCUACACAACGCAGUUUAUUUAUAUUAUUUUGUUUAAUUUUAUUUGCAAACAAUUUCUCUAUUCCAUUAAACUUCAACUUGAAACCUUAUCUAAAUUGAGAGAAUCUGGUCAGAGUUAACAAAUGGAUUGGGUCGGACGUAUUCAACUCAUUUCUAGUUAGAGUUAUAGUAAUUACCUGCAUUUGGGCCUGGUCACGACUGACCAAAAAAGAGUCAGCACCAAGUUGGGUGAUUGCAUCGUGUUUCUUGUCAGGGGAUGUACUAAUCACGGUGACUUUAGCUCCUAAAGCCUUGGCAAAUCUAACAGCAACAUGACCAAGACCACCCAGGCCAACCACACCAACAUGCUUACCAGGUUCUGCUAAUCCAAAAUAUUUCAAGGGACUAUAAACUGUGAUCCCAGCACAAAGGAGAGGAGCACCAGCAUCAAGUGGCAUAUUUUCCGGGAAAUUGACAACGUAACGCUGAUUAACGAUCAUGUGAUCUGAAUAGCCUCCAUAAGUGAUUGUUCCAUCGGAGUAAAUGGAAUUGUAGGUGAGUAUCAUCUUGGGACAGUAAUUCUCAAGGUCAUUGUUACAGUUGUCGCAAGAAUGACAUGCACCCACCAUGCACCCUAUUCCCACUUUGUCUCCCACCUUCACAUUUUUCACCUUCCUCCCAACCUCGGUCACUUCCCCUACAAUUUCAUGCCCGGGAACAAUAGGGUACAUAGACACACCCCAGUCAUUCUUCAAGUUGUGAAGAUCAGUAUGGCAAAUCCCACAAAACAACACCUUAAACCUUACAUCUUCCUCACCAGUAGCUCUUCUUGAGAAAACGAAGGGAGAAAGAUGACCAGAUUGAUCUCUAGCUGCCCAUCCAAAGGCCUUUACAGGGUGUUCUUGUUCUGGCAACAACUUCGCCAUAGCUUUUGCCUUUCCGAAACUGUAUA
Molecule: unclassified non-coding RNA, 1586 nt
Filed under: Hevea brasiliensis (rubber tree)
Lineage: Eukaryota; Viridiplantae; Streptophyta; Magnoliopsida; Malpighiales; Euphorbiaceae
Source: RNAcentral